GGCCGUUGGUCAAGUGGUUAAGACACGCCUUUCACGCGGUAUCAUGGGUUCAAAUCCGUACGGGUCA
This 67-nucleotide transfer RNA is filed under the name Latilactobacillus curvatus. Its description in RNAcentral is "Lactobacillus curvatus tRNA-Glu". Lineage: Bacteria; Bacillati; Bacillota; Bacilli; Lactobacillales; Lactobacillaceae. The record is from RNAcentral.